GAUGAAGAACGUAGCGAAAUGCGAUAAGUAAUGUGAAUUGCAGAAUUCAGUGAAUCAUAGAAUCUUUGAACGCACAUUGCGCCCAUUAGUAUUCUAGUGGGCAUGCCUGUUCGAGCGUCAUUAAGUCCACUUAAGCCCUGCUUAGUGUUGGGAGACUGCUCCAGCGGUGCUACCCUGUAGCUACCCUGCAGCUCCUCAAAGACAGCGGCGGAGUUGUGGUAUCCUCUGAGCUUAGUAACUUGUUCUAGCUUUCGAGUACACCACUUCCCCUGCCGUAAAACCCUUAAUUUUUAAUGGUUGACCUCGGAUCAGGUAGGAAUACCCGCUGAACUUAAGCAUAUCAAUAAGCGGAGGA
This 355-nucleotide unclassified non-coding RNA is filed under the name soil metagenome. RNAcentral describes it as "partial contains 5.8S ribosomal RNA, internal transcribed spacer 2, and large subunit ribosomal RNA". The stretch from base 1 to 120 matches the Rfam family "5.8S ribosomal RNA", at positions 35 to 154 of the family's 154-position model. The record is from RNAcentral.